CCUUAUUAAGAGUGGCUGAGGGACUAGGCCCAGUGAAGCCCGGCAACCUGAGCGCAUAUGCGGCUCAAGGUGCCAAUUCCUACAGAAGGCAGAAAUGCCCGAUGAAAGAUGAGG
RNAcentral lists this non-coding RNA (114 nucleotides) under bovine gut metagenome. Its description in RNAcentral is "SAM riboswitch (S box leader)". It matches the Rfam family "SAM riboswitch aptamer (S box leader)". From Rfam's summary of the family: The SAM riboswitch is found upstream of a number of genes which code for proteins involved in methionine or cysteine biosynthesis in Gram-positive bacteria. The SAM riboswitch acts at the level of transcription termination control. The record is from RNAcentral.